GUAGGGCAUGGUGGUGCAUGCCUGUAAUCCCAGGAGCUUGGGAGGCUGAGGCAGGAGCAUUGCAAGUUCAAAGCCAGCCUCAGCAGCUUAGUGAGGGCCUGAGCUACUUAGGAAUACCCAGUCUCUA
This 127-nucleotide small RNA is filed under the name Marmota monax (woodchuck). The record is from RNAcentral. Lineage: Eukaryota; Metazoa; Chordata; Mammalia; Rodentia; Sciuridae.